UACGAAGGGGGCUAGCGUUGUUCGGAAUUACUGGGCGUAAAGCGUGCGCAGGCGGCCAUUUAAGUCAGGGGUGAAAGCCUGGGGCUCAACCCCAGAACUGCCCUUGAGACUGGAUGGCUGGAGUGCGGGAGAGGUGAGUGGAAUUCCCAGUGUAGAGGUGAAAUUCGUAGAUAUUGGGAAGAACACCCGUGGCGAAGGCGGCUCACUGGCCCGUAACUGACGCUCAGGCAAGAUAGCGUGGGGAGCAAACAGG
This 253-nucleotide ribosomal RNA is filed under the name uncultured bacterium. RNAcentral's name for it is "partial 16S ribosomal RNA". It matches the Rfam family "Bacterial small subunit ribosomal RNA", at positions 524 to 776 of the family's 1533-position model. The record is from RNAcentral.